CGAACUCUGGUAUUGAUUGGUGCUUGCAUCAUGAUUUACAUUUGAGUGAGUGGCGAACUGGUGAGUAACACGUGGGAAACCUGCCCAGAAGCGGGGGAUAACACCUGGAAACAGAUGCUAAUACCGCAUAACAACUUGGACCGCAUGGUCCGAGGUUUGAAAGAUGGCUUCGGCUAUCACUUCUGGAUGGUCCCGCGGCGUAUUAGCUAGAUGGGUGAGGUAACGGCUCACCAUGGCAAUGAUACGUAGCCGACCUGAGAGGGUAAUCGGCCACAUUGGGACUGAGACACGGCCCAAACUCCUACGGGAGGCAGCAGUAGGGAAUCUUCCACAAUGGACGAAAGUCUGAUGGAGCAACGCCGCGUGAGUGAAGAAGGGUUUCGGCUCGUAAAACUCUGUUGUUAAAGAAGAACAUAUCUGAGAGUAACUGUUCAGGUAUUGACGGUAUUUAACCAGAAAGCCACGGCUAACUACGUGCCAGCAGCCGCGGUAAUACGUAGGUGGCAAGCGUUGUCCGGAUUUAUUGGGCGUAAAGCGAGCGCAGGCGGUUUUUUAAGUCUGAUGUGAAAGCCUUCGGCUCAACCGAAGAAGUGCAUCGGAAACUGGGAAACUUGAGUGCAGAAGAGGACAGUGGAACUCCAUGUGUAGCGGUGAAAUGCGUAGAUAUAUGGAAGAACACCAGUGGCGAAGCCGGCUGUCUGGUCUGUAACUGACGCUGAGGCUCGAAAGUAUGGGUAGCAAACAGGAUUAGAUACCCUGGUAGUCCAUACCGUAAACGAUGAAUGCUAAGUGUUGGAGGGUUUCCGCCCUUCAGUGCUGCAGCUAACGCAUUAAGCAUUCCGCCUGGGGAGUACGGCCGCAAGGCUGAAAACUCAAAGGAAUUGACGGGGGCCCGCACAAGCGGUGGGAAGCAUGUGGUUUAAUUCGAAGCUACGCCGAAGAACCUUACCAGGUCUUGACAAUACUAUGCAAAUUCUAAGAAGGAUUAGACGUUCCCUUCGGGGACAUGGAUAACAGGUGGUGCAAUGCUUGUCGUCAGCUCGGUUCGUGGAAUGUUGGGUUAAGUCCCGCAACGAGCGCAACCCUUAUUAUCAGUUGCCAGCAUUAAGUUGGGCACUCUGGUGAGACUGCCGGUGACAAACCGGAGUGGGGUGGUGAUGACGUGAAAUCAUCUAGCCCCUUCAUGACCUGGGCUACACACGUGCUACAAUGGA
This 1214-nucleotide ribosomal RNA is filed under the name Lactiplantibacillus plantarum. Its description in RNAcentral is "bacterial SSU rRNA". It matches the Rfam family "Bacterial small subunit ribosomal RNA", at positions 63 to 1234 of the family's 1533-position model. The record is from RNAcentral. Lineage: Bacteria; Bacillati; Bacillota; Bacilli; Lactobacillales; Lactobacillaceae.